CUGCCUGGUAGUGGGGAAUAACCAGUCGAAAGAUUGGCUAAUGCCGCAUACGACCCAUUUUCGUAUUGGAUUUGGGUGAAAGCGGGGGAUCGUAAGACCUCGCGCUAACAGAUGAGCCGAAGUCGGAUUAGCUUGUUGGUGAGGUAACGGCUCACCAAGGCGACAAUCCGUAGCUGGUCUGAGAGGACGACCAGCCACACUGGGACUGAGACACGGCCCAG
This 221-nucleotide ribosomal RNA is filed under the name uncultured bacterium. RNAcentral's name for it is "partial 16S ribosomal RNA". It matches the Rfam family "Bacterial small subunit ribosomal RNA", at positions 126 to 334 of the family's 1533-position model. The record is from RNAcentral.